This is a long non-coding RNA of Catharus ustulatus (Swainson's thrush), 458 nucleotides long. RefSeq lists it as uncharacterized. The transcript has 3 exons. Lineage: Eukaryota; Metazoa; Chordata; Aves; Passeriformes; Turdidae. The record is from RefSeq and is a predicted model, not a curated record.
AGUUCAUAUAUCUGCUGGGCAUUGUGAUUCCACACAGUGUCGUUCUUUUCUAGUAUAACUUCUGAAACACUAACAGUGCCCAACACACCACUGCUUUGAAAAAAGAACCAGCUCAAGAACAGAAAGGGAAUGUAGGUUUUUCUUCUAUUCCUGAACUCAAAAGAGUUCAGUGGGCAGCAUCAGCCAUAUUGUGGAAUCCCACUCACAAGGCAUUUUGCAAGACAUAAACAGCAAAAUCAAAGGGAUCAGAGGCAGAGAAGAAAAGGAUUUCCAAGUUUUGUAAGUUCAGUAAAAACAGAGAACUUCAUCACAGAAGUCAAGGCAGCAUUUCAGCCUGGGAACACACAGGAUCUCUCCCACCCCACAGAGAUGUCUGACUGCUACUUAUUCGUGCUGGUUUGUAUCCAACAGAGCAUAUAACCAACUUAACCAAUCUCUGCUGAGACUGAUUUCCUGAA